UCCGGUUUGUUUCCGGCGGUCUCCCUAGAUUUGCAACUAAGGACAAGGGUUGCGCUCGUUGCGGGACUUAACCCAACAUCUCACGACACGAGCUGACGACAGCCAUGCAACAUCUGUCUAUCCGUCCUUGCGGAGGACUGGGUUUCCCCAGUUUGCGAAUAGAUGUCAAGCCCUGGUAAGGUUCUUCGCGUCGCAUCGAAUUAAACCACACACUCCGCUGCUUGUGCGGGUCCCCGUCAAUUCCUUUGAGUUUUAGUCUUGCGACCGUACUCCCCAGGCGGGCCACUUAAUGCGUUAGCUGCGGCACGGAAGGGGUCAACACCCCCCACACCUAGUGGCCAUCGUUUACUGCUAGGACUAC
RNAcentral lists this unclassified non-coding RNA (361 nucleotides) under uncultured Ktedonobacteria bacterium. Its description in RNAcentral is "contains 16S-23S intergenic spacer region". The record is from RNAcentral. Lineage: Bacteria; Bacillati; Chloroflexota; Ktedonobacteria.